This 9210-nucleotide long non-coding RNA is filed under the name Homo sapiens (human). RNAcentral describes it as "non-protein coding lnc-IL6-3:14". Lineage: Eukaryota; Metazoa; Chordata; Mammalia; Primates; Hominidae. The record is from RNAcentral.
AGUCACUUGCCGGCUCUCAGAGGGCAUUUCACAUAGGAAAAAAACGUGGUUCCUGCAGACGGUUGCUGGUAUGUGGAGUCCCCCCGCCCGCCGCGGGGCUUACUGAACCUGUGCAGUAGGUGAAAUCUCUACUUUUACAACAAAGGAAAGCUUGAUGGUUCAUUGUUAAACAAAACCAUAUUUGUUUGUUUGUUGUCAAUUUAUACAUAAGAAUAAGAAAGAGUAUGUUAAAGCAGCUUCUCUGCAGUACUAGUACUGUGCUCCAAGAAAGGCAGGUUUAUACUUAGCUGUGGUCCUCAGUGGAGUCCCCAGACCUGCAAUAUCUGGGAACAGCUAAGAAAUUCAAAUUCUCAGGCUCCAGUGCAGACUUAAGAGAUCAGAAACUCUAUCUAGGGGUGGAGUUAGCAAUCUGGACUGUGACCAGCCCUCCAGGUGAUUGUGAGAAUGCAUCCUAAGACAGAGAACCACAGAGCCACAGAAAGAAGAGGCCCUGUGAAGGGAGACCCGAGGGUAUGGAGAGUUGUUGGCUCCAGCUUGGGCGCACUCGUUCUCUCUUUCUGUUUCUUUCUUCCCUCUUCCCUUCUGUUCUCUUUUCCCCUUCCGCCUCCUCUUCCUCCCCCUCCUCCUCCUCUUCCUCCUCCCCCUCCUCCUCCUCCUUCUUCUUCUUCUUCUCUCUCUCUCUCCCUUUCUCCCUCCCUCCCUCCCUCCCUCCCUCCUCUCUCUCCUGUCUGCUGUCAUUGGGAAGCUGUGUGGUCAGCCAGUCAAAAAGCAGAUUUCAGAGUCAGGAGUUCCAGGGUUCACAGUUGAGCUCCAUUCCCUACUGGGUGACUGAGGGCAGUUUCUAAACUUCUCUGAUCCUGUUCUGCCCUCUGAAGAAGGGGAAAAUAAUACAUCCUGUGUACGAUUGUUAUUGGGAAUCAAUGAGCUAGUGUAUGGAAGAGGCUGCAUGUGGUUCUUGGUACAAAGAAGCAGAUUAUUAUCAGUUACAUGUAGGUGAGGCAUCCAAAAUGCUAGGAGAAAAAACCUGAGCCUUUACACGGUAUCGCUGUGUCCAUUGUUACCUUAUCAACUCCCAUAGCAUGCUCACUUUUUUUCAUAGAAAUUGUCUAUUUUCCAUGAUUAUUCAGUGAAUCCACAACAAUCUCAUUCUUGGUUAGGGACUCAUUAAAGUGUUAUCAGUCUUAUGGAAUUAUUUAAAACCUGUGAACUCCCCCAAAUAAUGCUUGAGGGUUCCAACCUUCCCUGCCCCCUCACAAUACAGCUUCAGAAGCUGAUUUGAUCAAGUGAAACCACUGUGCCUCCUACUUCAUUUUCCCGGGUUUGCUGCUUUUCUAAGUAUGUCUCACAAAAUGUAUGCUGCUCUUUUUUUCUUUUAGUCUUCAUAUUGUAUAUUAGAUCCCUAGACUUCUUUGUUCUACACAUCUGCUGCUCUGUAUUCUGACCUACAUCUGCAUACUGCUUUAAUAGAAUGGAUGUUUGCAGACGUGACUGUGAUAUUGGAAUAUGGAAGGAUCCAUCCAGGGUCAGGAAGCAGCAGGCUGGCUUCAUUCUCAGUGUUUGUUUUCUGGGUCUUUGAAGGAGAGGUGUUGCAGGGAAAAAGGUCGUGCAUCAGGAAGUGUCAUUUAAAAAGGACCUGAGUUGGGCUGAGUUAUCAGCAAAUACACGCCAUGGCUGUGCUCCCCACCCCCCACCGUACACUAGCAGGGCAGCAGCUCUGAUUGUCUAACGAGCAGCAGAGCCGCCCAGCAGCAACCACAUUAGGAAGGAAUCGGAAACCAACGCUCCGCUGGCUGUCACCCCUUACCCACUUGCUGUCAGGUAGAGUACUUGUUUAUUAUUAAUUAUCUAUUUUCAGUAUCCUGCACCUGGGGGUGAACAUCAUCGGUGCUAAGACUUUUUAGCCUAUGGGGAUCUCUGCUGAGCACUAAAACCACGGGCUUCCCCUUGGGAAGAGGCAGAAAAUACACUUCCCAGGUUCUCACUGCCAGCUCUGACAGGCUGAACUGCAGUUGGAGAAGGAAACUGAGGACUGGGCUCCCUUCCUGUCUCCUAAGCCAGGGCAGAGCUGGGCUUCGGGUGAUGGCAGGAGACAGAGAAGCAGGUAACUUCCCUGGAGGGAGCUGAGCAGGGCAAGUCCCCUCUUCCAGGGACAUUCCAGGCAUGACAGAGGUGCACAGGCACAGAAGCCCUGCUGCUUCGGCAAGCUAGGCUGCUCAUAGCUGUGUCUACCCCUUCCCGGGACGUGGACUGUGGGGAGUGUCUAUUCAGGACCAUCUAGAAGAGUUCAGAGCCUUUCAAACUUCUUUUCAACAUGCGUUCCUGACUGAGGACACAGCUCAAAGCUGCCUCUCAGGCUUAGAAACACUUCUUAAUUUUCACUGUCGAGGGCUAGCUUUGAGUCAGAUCCUUUCACCUCAUCAAAAAGGGUGUCAGCACACAAGCGCUCCGAAAUUACUCGCUUGGCUUUCUGCUCAGGGUGACUGUGGUAAAGAAGUUACAGCCCACAGGCAAACCCCAGUAAUUGGCCUUGGCCUGGAGCCACACCUUGGAAGCCAUCUCCCAGCGGGAGUGAAAGGACUGUGGGGACAGGGCAUCAAUGUCUGCCCAAGGCAAAAUAGGGCGAACAGUAGCCUGCCUGUGGCACCCUCCCCACCUCUCUUCUAGAGCAGUAACCUUUCAUUUUCUCAGCCUCUGCAUGGGAAGUCUCAUUUAGGCUCCUUAGUUCACCCACACCUUGCUACGACAAACAAAAAAUGAUAACCAUUACAAUAUAUGGAGUCCUUACUACGUGAGCAGCACUGUAUAAGGUGUUUUCCAUGUAUCAUCGUGAUCUUCACAACAGCUGCUCAAGGAACGCAUCAUAAUGGCCCCUUUGGAGGGAACUACAGGGACCCAGGGAGGCUAAGCUACCCUUUAAGGUAAAACUGGCCAGGCCAGGAUUUGAACCCAAGCCAGCCUGACUCAACAGCAAGUGCGGUUUCCCCAACACUAUACCAUCUACCAUUCCCAGACUUCUCAGGCUUAGGCUAUGUCUGGUUUCUACGACAUCAUAAAAUAAACAUUAUUAAUUCAUGAAGAAGCAAAGGACGUGAGCCAUGGGAGUCAUUGGGUAGAUGAAUAUUGAAUGACUGAAUGGACCGGAGCUUCUGUCAGUUCCCUCUCAUCCAAAGACUCAGCACCUCCAAGGCUCAGACUCCCAGGGCACUGCUACCUCAGAGAUCUCUCCAGGCUCUGCUCACAGGCACUCACCCACUGCCUGACCUUGCAGGCUCCUGGAAUUAAGCCAUGAGUGGUUUCCUGUCUCUUGACAACAUCUACCCAGAACUCAGACUUUGGUUUUCCUUUGUCCCUAGACCACAGCCUGAGGCAGCCAAACCCAUUUCCUUGGGGAUCCAGCGCAAACCAGAGAGUGUGGACAGGCCGAUGGAAGAAUGUUGGACCAGCUUUAAGAAUGGGCUGUUCUAAGUCAUGAAUAUUGUAGGAAGCAGCUCUAAGGACCACAGGGCUGGAGGGUGCACAGGAAGGGGCCAGUGCAUACAGGUGUCCAAACAGUGUCAUCCGGUGUCCUGACAUGCGGCCCCAAUGGACUGAUCCAGGGUGGAAAGGAAGAGUGAGAAGAAAUCAGACAGAAGAAUUCAGGAGAUGUGGCAACAGAGUGGAUGUAGCAGAAGGGACAUAGAGAGUGCCUAAAGAUGAGUCUUUGGUCAGCAUGUGAUGAAAAGAAUGAAGACACUGGGGAAGUGGGGAGCAGAAGCGGAUGUGGGCCCAGGAGGAAGAAGAAUUUGGGACCUGGGAGUUUGGGAGAAAAGCAAAGAAGGCCUGGGGUUGAGUGAGACACAGGGUCCCAGCCAGCAGCUAGAACACGAGGAGAAAAGAAGAAAGGACUCACUGAAAGGGAAUUGCUGAAGAGGACCUUUAUAUCUGAGGGCUUUACUUUGUGCUUUGUAAUUUCCCUUUGUCAUCCUCAUCUUUUAGGAAACUGAUUAACCACUAUAAUUUACGUCGUAUUAGCAACGCCUUAGAGAAUGAAGGAGGAACUGUACUUAUUCUUGGAGCGUAGCCUGGAGAGAGGCAGAAGCCUUCAGGAGCUGUUACUAGGUAGUAGGAAAUCACUCUCUCUAGAGUCCUCUGAAACAGUCUGGAAGAGAAUGGAUUUCCUGCUGUUGUGCAGGAUGAGGGUUUGAGUACAGUAAUUUAAUUUACUUAUUUAAAAAAUACUGGAAGAUGGGGAGGGAGGAUGGGUCAGAUUAUAAUAUGUUCAUAUGUCUAAGGCAGGAAAUUAGAUACAAGAUGAAAUCUAAGAAAGUUCUGUGAUUGGGUUUCUCCCACAGAAGGAGGAGAAAAUCCCUGCAUCUCUGGUUAUGCAAAUAAUAUGCAAAUUACAGUGAUUACAUACUUGCUUAGAAAAUUUUGAUUACCUCAUUUUGACUUCAGGCAGAGUUGGGACACCAAAAGGGAAUGUUUGUCAACAGUCCAGAGUUGUUAGAUUUCUUCCAGGGGAAAUGAAAGGGUAAAUUUCUUACCAAACACAAGGGUUUUAAAUAAGUUUUUCAAACUCCUUAAUGUCUCCCUUCCACAAAGCAUACCAAAAAAAAAAAAAAAUUACAAUAGAGUCAAAAUGUGAUCUGUAGACAAAAUGAAGGACAAAUGGUUUUCCCCCCUAAAUUUUACUCCAGGGUACAUUUUCUCCUCUUUCUUUGUCGAACAAUGUGAAGUAAGGGCUUGGAUUUUGUCCUGCAGAUGGUUUUGCAAUCAGUUCUAGCCAUUUCUCUAAGUCUGGGCUUCAAAUCUGUCAGUUGAGAGUGAUACAGUUGCCUGUCCCAUGGUGGUGUUAAGUGAGGCUGAGAGCAUCAAACAAAUGUCCCAGCUCCUGCCACAGUUGCAUCCUUGACACGUUCCAGUGGUGCCCGAGCAACACUGCAAAGACCCCCUGGGAUGUCUGUUGGCAAGAAAAGGUGGAGCCACUGCCCUGGGGGGCUGGGAAGGGAGUUAGAGAACUACUGUCUUAACCUAAAAUUUGGGCAGAAUCUGCCUUGGAUCAAAUUUAAAAUCUUUUCUGAAUAUUAGCUGACUUGAUUAGAAACUAGUUGUCUCUCCCCUUCUCAGCAGAAGACUGUGGAAUGUGUCUCCUAGCAACAGAGAUGUGUUACUAUCUUAUGGUAGGACUGUUUUAUAAAGCAGCAAUCUCCAACCUUUUUGGCACCAGAGACCAGUUUCAUGGAAGAUGAUUUCUCCACAGACAGGGAAGUGGGGGGAUGGUUUCAGGAUGACUCAUGCGCAUUACAUUUAUUGUGUACUUUAUUUCUAUUAUUAUUACAUUGUAAUAUAUAAUGAAAUAAUUAUACAACUCACCAUAAUGUAGAAUCAGUGGAACCCCUGAGCUUGUUUUCCUGCAACUAGAUGGUUCUAUCUGGGGGGUGAUGGGAGACACUGACAGAUGAUCAGGCAUUAGAUUCUCAUAAGAAGUGCACAACCUAGAUCCCUCACAUGUGCAGUUUACAGUACGGUUCACGCUCUUUUGAGAAUCUUAUGCUGCUGCUGAGGUGGAAGGUGGAGGUGGAGGUCGAAGGUGGAGGUGGAGCUCAGGCAGUAAUGUGAGCAAUGGGGAAUGGCUGUAAAUACAGAUGAAGCUUCACUCACUUGCCUGCCACUCAAAACAGGCCACAGACCAGUACCGUGUAGAAGUACCAAUCUGUAGCCUGGGGGUUGAGGACCGCAGCUAUAAAGGACACUCAUUCUGCUGUCCGCACUUCUCCCAAUAACUACCAGGAAAGGGUCACAGUCAGAAUGAAUUUAGCCAUUCACCUUCAGUACCAAUGCAUUGUCCUAAAGAGGUAACAGUUCCACUGGCUUCAAAUCUUUUGUAUCAUUUGUGUCUUCCUUCCCUCUCUUCUCUUCCUCUCUCAUUCACACUUUUCUCUUCUUUCUCCCCAAUCUCUCAACUCCUUUCCUUCCUUGCUUCCCUGACCACUACCUUUUCAACAUCUGUCUUUUGACCUUUCCCUUUCCCUUCUUUAUUCCUAUCCCUGCCACCAUCCUGUGUAAAGUGCUAUCAGUUCUACUCCAUUCUUCCCUCUACCUCUGCCCUUAACCCUAGUUCCAGGUCCAGGUAGUUCCUUACCCCACCCUCUGGACAAGGCUGCUUCUGGGCUAUAAUCUCUUUUCAAGAUAUUUUAUCCUACAUGCAGCUGCCAAGUUAUUUCCCCUACAACAGCAAUCUAUUCAUAACACAGCCCUGCUCAAAAACCUUUAAGGGUUUACAUUUCCUAUGGAGUAAAAACCAAGUCGUAAGCCUCAUGUUCCAGAGCCAAGACAGUAUGGUUCUAUUCAUCUUUUGCAGCCUGGGCAUGCUCUGGUUUUCUUUAGACAUGCACUGUUCCUGUCAAAAUGCCUCUUAUCCACCUGGGUCUCUUCUCCAGCUGUUUCCUCUGCCUAAAGUUCCCUCACCCCAAUUCCUCCAUCUCUGCACAUCUAAAACCACUAGGGCUACCUCAAGCUUAGCCUGUUCUGUGCAACCUUUCCUGAUAUCUCUACCUAAUCCUUCUUCUGAACCCCUAUAGAACUUAUCCCCAUAAUGAGGUCACCCUAACAACAAUCAACCAGGUGCUGCCAGCUCUGUCCCACACAUCAAUAUGACCUUCAGCCCCUGCCUAAGUUCCAUUGUAGAAGUGUCUCUAGAAGUUCCCAGGGUGCCUCACAUGUACUCCCUGAAUAAGGACACUUCUUUCAGGUCUUGCCAGUGCUCUGCCAUCUUCCCCCAAGCAUCUGCUGGGCACCAUUGCUCCUGACACAGCUAGGGAGCUCCUACCACGUCAAGGUUUACAGUGUUCUGGAGUAAGUUGCAGAAUGAACCUGCAACUCCUCCUUACUGAGGAGUCAGAGUCCACUCUAUCAGGGAGAUCUCAAAAGAAUGUUGUUGAUGCUCUAAUGGUCUUUGAGGUACUGUAAAACAGUUCUUUCUGCUUAUUCCCCCAAGCCCCAUCCCUAUGGAGCCAUAGGAUUCCAAUGUUAGGUAAAUGUGACAGAGCAUUGUGCUUUACUUGGAAUUGACCCUUCUGCCCAAAAUGCUGCAUUCUUACUGAGUCAGGUAUGUUAUACCUGCUCUGUCUUCACACAUGGCCUUCGUCAGCCCCUAAUAUAAGUAAAUGAGGGGCUGGACUGCCUAUAUAUUUUCUAGAAAAUGUAGUCUUAAUGAGUCACUGUUAUGGUUGGAAAUGUAUCCUAUCCCUCAAGUAUGCUGGGGAAGAAAAGUGGUUAAGACAUACUAGAUUCUAUGAUACUCCAGAACUGCACUGCUCAACACAGUGGCUACUGGCCACAUGAGGCUAUAGAGCACUUGAAAUUUAGCUACUCCCAACUGAGAGGUGCUAUGAGUAUAAAAUUCAUAUCAGGUUUCAAAGACUUACUCCUCCAAAAAAGGGUGUAAAAUAAGUCAUUAAUAACUUUUGUAACGUUGACUACAUGUUGAAAUAAUACUUUGUAUUAGGUCAAAUAACAUGCCAUUAAAAUGGAUUUCACCUCUUCUUACUUUCUUAGUAUGGUUUCUAGAAAACUUAAAAUUACAUACAUGGUUUGCAUUUGUGGCACACCUUAUAUUUCUAUUGCACAGUGCUGCUCUAGAGCAGCUCUCUAGAGCACUUGUUAGAAAUGCAAACCCUUGGGCCCCAGCUCAGACCUACUGAGUCAGAAACUCCAGUAGGGCCCAGCAAUCUGUGGCAAACAAGUUCUCCAGCUAGUCCUGGCUCACACUGACAUUAAGCUCUCCACCAAGAAGGUAAGCUCUAAAGCACUGAAAAUAAGAUCCAGAGCAUAACGGGAUCUCAAUAAGUUUUGUUAAAUGAUUUAAUCUUGAUGGUUCCUGUUAAGCUCAAAAUUAUUCUGUCCAUCAGUCAGUCAGUGAGAGAGAAAGUAAACAACAAACUUCGUCCCCAACCUUGGAAGAACAGCUCGCUGGUAACUUCAAAAGUUGCCACUAACAGCCGGGGAGAAUUGCAAGUCAUUAUCAGAACACCUUUAAAAAUUCUCAAUAGAAAUGUAUGAAUACAAUGGCUGUGCCAGAAGCAAGAGAUAGUCAGACAUGAAGAAAGUAUAAAGAAAAAUAAAAACAUGCUAAGUUAUAAAACUGGUCUGGGUGCGAAGCCAGGCUGGCUGAUGCUUUGCAAUGGAGUAGCUCUGAAGCUGCCUCUUCCAGUGCCUGUGCCCUACUGGACAAAGAUAGCCACAGCCUCAGUCCCUCUUUUGGUACAGAUACCAAAAGGUCUUGAUCAACUGGGACUUCACCGAUACAGCCCUCAAGAGCCUGCAGUCCUUGCAUAUCUCAACUUUACCCCUUCAAGCAUUCUGAAAUUCACCUCAAGUUUCCAUUCCUUGUGACAUGUGCCAUUAUCAAGAUUCAUUAGUUCGUGACCGUGCUUGAAGAGCACACCACAAAAUAUGCCAUGCACACGACAAAGCAUGUCCUCUUUAAGAAUGAGUGAGAAGUGUAUGGAACAGAAUCAAAACUGUCAGAGUGGCCUUGCUUUGAGCACUCCCUAAGUGAAAUAAUGUUCUCCAAACAGCAGUCUCCUGGAAACUGAUAACCAUGUUUAACAUACUUAGUGGCAUUAAAACUAUCAUCCAUGUACUUAUUUUUUGCCUUUUUAAAAACUGACAUAUAAUAUUUUACAUAUUUAUGGGGUACAUGUGAUAUUUUGUUACGUGGAUCAAAUCAGUUUUGGGGGUGUCCAUCCCUUGAGUAUUUAUCAUCUCUGUGUUGGGAACAUUUCAAGUCAUAGCUACUUUGAAAUAUCAUGCAUUUAUUAAAAGUAAUUCAUGCACAUUGUAAAACAAGAUUAAACAAGGCAGAAAUGGAUAAAGUAAAAAAGUUCUCUUCUCUGACUCAGUCCCAAUCCCUAGACUAUUCUAGAUUUUUAAAAUGUAGAUAUUAAUAGAAAUACAAAUAGAUAUUUUUUUUUAAAUGAGAUCAUAUGUGCAUUCAAUUUUGUAACCUGCCUGUCUCACUUGCUCGUAUGUCGUGGACAACUUUCAGUGUUGUUUAUGUAGAUUUACCUCUUUCCAUUUGAUGUUUGCACAGUGUUCUACUGCAUGGAUAGUUUAUUUAACCACACAUUCAUCUAACAGUAGUACCCAAAACAUAGAAAGCUCUCAAUAAAUACUGGCUCUUAUGUAUAAUCAUAGAAAUGUUUUUAUAUUUCCUUAUUUAUACUUCCU